UAGGGAAUCUUCCACAAUGGGCGCAAGCCUGAUGGAGCAACGCCGCGUGAGUGAAGAAGGGUUUCGCUCGUAAAGCUCUGUUGUUGGAGAAGAACGUGCGUGAGAGUAACUGUUCACGCAGUGACGGUAUCCAACCAGAAAGUCACGGCUAACUACGUGCC
Molecule: ribosomal RNA, 161 nt
Filed under: uncultured bacterium
Lineage: Bacteria
Description: partial 16S ribosomal RNA
Rfam family: Bacterial small subunit ribosomal RNA
Source: RNAcentral